This 250-nucleotide ribosomal RNA is filed under the name uncultured bacterium. RNAcentral describes it as "partial 16S ribosomal RNA". It matches the Rfam family "Bacterial small subunit ribosomal RNA", at positions 524 to 773 of the family's 1533-position model. The record is from RNAcentral.
UACGAAGGGUGCAAGCGUUAAUCGGAAUUACUGGGCGUAAAGCGCGCGUAGGUGGUUUUGUAAGUUGGAAGUGAAAGCCCCGGGCUCAACCUGGGAACUGCUUUCAAAACUGCAAAGCUAGAGUAUGGCAGAGGGUGGUGGAAUUUCCUGUGUAGCGGUGAAAUGCGUAGAUAUAGGAAGGAACACCAGUGGCGAAGGCGACCACCUGGGCUACUACUGACACUGAGGUGCGAAAGCGUGGGGAGCAAAC